ACUCCUACGGGAGGCAGCAGUGGGGAAUAUUGCACAAUGGGCGCAAGCCUGAUGCAGCCAUGCCGCGUGUAUGAAGAAGGCCUUCGGGUUGUAAGUACUUUCAGCAGUGAGGAAGGUGGGUAUGUUAAUAGCAUAUUCAUUUUGACGUUUAGCUGCAGAAGAAGCACCGGCUAACUCCGUGCCAGCAGCCGCGGUAAUACGGAGGGUGCGAGCGUUAAUCGGAAUUACUGGGCGUAAAGCGCAUGCAGGUGGUUUGUUAAGUCAGAUGUGAAAGCCCGGGGCUCAACCUCGGAAUUGCAUUUGAAACUGGCAAACUAGAGUACUGUAGAGGGGGUAGAA
RNAcentral lists this ribosomal RNA (339 nucleotides) under uncultured bacterium. RNAcentral's name for it is "bacterial SSU rRNA". It matches the Rfam family "Bacterial small subunit ribosomal RNA", at positions 335 to 665 of the family's 1533-position model. The record is from RNAcentral.